Molecule: ribosomal RNA, 207 nt
Filed under: uncultured Anaerolineaceae bacterium
Lineage: Bacteria; Bacillati; Chloroflexota; Anaerolineae; Anaerolineales; Anaerolineaceae
Description: partial 16S ribosomal RNA
Rfam family: Bacterial small subunit ribosomal RNA
Source: RNAcentral
CGUGCAGGCGGUUUGUUAAGUUGGAUGUGAAAGCUCCCGGCUAAACUGGGAGAGGUCGUUCAAAACUGGCAGACUAGAGUGUGGUAGAGGGGAGUGGAAUUCCGAGUGUAGCGGUAAAAUGCAUAGAUAUUCGGAAGAACACCAGUGGCGAAGGCGACUUCCUGGACCACAACUGACGCUCAGACGCGAAAGCCAGGGUAGCAAACG